This 342-nucleotide long non-coding RNA is filed under the name Gallus gallus (chicken). Lineage: Eukaryota; Metazoa; Chordata; Aves; Galliformes; Phasianidae. The record is from RNAcentral.
GCUUAACAUCUGGGAGACCUUCUGUUGAAGUAACUGCUACACCCAGCUGCUGAAAGGAUGAGCUCCUUCAACUCCCUUUGCUACUCACUGUGGCAGCAUCUGGGACAUAUUUGUGGUAACACGAGAUCCCCAGUCUCCUCCCUGUACGUAGUAUUCCUUGAAGCCCAGUCUCUUCAUCAGCUUGUGAAAUAUCCGAGCAGUUGCAAGGGUGUCAAAGCCUGCAUGUAAAGAGAAGCACCACACGUUUGUCCUGGCAUGUCCUGGCCAGAGAUCACGGCCCAAACGUGCUGCUAUGAAGCAACAGUGUACUGUACUGCUCCUCCUUACUCUUUGACAAUAGAG